AGUAGCUGAGAACUUACAUCCACAACUAUGAGGCAAAGAGAGAUAACUGGGAUAGUGUGGGCCUUUGAAACCUCAUGGGUCACCCUCAGUGAUACACCCCCUCCAGUAAGGCCACAUCGUCCUGAACAGUUCCACUAACUGGGGACCAAGUAUUGAAACAUACUAAAGUCACAUCAGAUAAGGGCUCUCUCCUGAAGACCCCAGACAAAGGAACAAAGUGGGUGGACAGCCUUCCCCACACACCUCAGGGGUCUGUCUUCUUGGAGCAUCAAAGUUCAGCUUCAUUUCCUGUGUCAGGGAGGUCCCAACUCAGGCCUUGGGUCUAGGGGAGCUGCCAAACCCAGCAGUGGGUAAAUAUUUGUUCCCUCAUGCCUAUGGGCUUGGGACCUGCUGGGUUUAGGGGCAGGGGUUGAGACUCAUGGGGCAAACAGACCUGAGGAUCUAGGCACCUACAUCCAUUAAGGUUUGGAAUUCAGAAGCAGUAGGCUGUAAGCACUCAACGUUCCUCUCAAGCAGCAUGGAUCCAGUUCUAGCCAUAUUGCCCCACAGGUGGAGUAGAGACAGCUGGUCCCUACCACACCCAGCCCGAUGUGCAGUGUCCAGAGCAAAAUCCACUUCGUUGGUGAGGCUUUGCAAGGCACGGAGUUCAGCAUCAGGAGUGGUCCACCGGCUGUCUGCCCACCCACUGCUGGGACAGAAGCAGCUCUCAGCCACAGCCACCCCCAUCAAUCAAUAUUUUUAAUUACCUUUACAUGAUUGACUAAUAAAAUUCUCCACUGACUAAUUG
RNAcentral lists this long non-coding RNA (787 nucleotides) under Mus musculus (house mouse). Its description in RNAcentral is "RIKEN cDNA 1700069P05 gene (1700069P05Rik)". Lineage: Eukaryota; Metazoa; Chordata; Mammalia; Rodentia; Muridae. The record is from RNAcentral.